AACAUAAAAGAGAUCCGAUGAUGUAUAAAAAUCGAAACAGUUGAAGAGCUAAAUCACUUAAACUGCCCUAUAAAUAAUAGCAGUAUGCAUAUAAGUUUCCUUAGCAAUAGCGGCUGUCAAAUGUGAAGUUUUAGGUGAAGACUUUGCUCAAGUAACUGGUACGUAUACCUAGUGCUGGAUUAAGUCGUCUUUGUCAAGGAGCGACCGGAUAAUAUGGAUGAUUAUUUAUGGUAUAGGAUGGGAGUUACUUUCGUUUGUCGUGACGAGUGUAAUGUUUGUUUAUCUGAAAUACUACAUGUGGCGUCAGAAAAAAAGAUUUAAUCAACGCCGAUUCAGCGACGUAUCCCUUCGACUGAGGGCUGAGGACGAAAACUAUCUCUACCUAUGGUUGAUUGGGUAUUGCCUAAGGAUGUGGGGG
Long non-coding RNA from Mytilus trossulus (common blue mussel), 418 nucleotides. RefSeq lists it as uncharacterized. The transcript is spliced from 3 exons. Lineage: Eukaryota; Metazoa; Mollusca; Bivalvia; Mytilida; Mytilidae. The record is from RefSeq and is a predicted model, not a curated record.